Molecule: ribosomal RNA, 501 nt
Filed under: uncultured bacterium
Lineage: Bacteria
Description: partial 16S ribosomal RNA
Rfam family: Bacterial small subunit ribosomal RNA
Source: RNAcentral
AUUGAACGCUGGCGGCAGGCUUAACACAUGCAAGUCGAGCGGAGAGAGGUAGCUUGCUACUGAUCUUAGCGGCGGACGGGUGAGUAAUGCUCAGGAAUCUGCCUAUUAGUGGGGGACAACAUUUCGAAAGGAAUGCUAAUACCGCAUACGUCCUACGGGAGAAAGCAGGGGAUUUUCGGACCUUGCGCUAAUAGAUGAGCCUAAGUCGGAUUAGCUAGUUGGUGGGGUAAAGGCCUACCAAGGCGACGAUCUGUAGCGGGUCUGAGAGGAUGAGCCGCCACACUGGGACUGAGACACGGCCCAGACUCCUACGGGAGGCAGCAGUGGGGAAUAUUGGACAAUGGGCGGAAGCCUGAUCUAGCCAUGCCGCGUGUGUGAAGAAGGCCUUAUGGUUGUAAAGCACUUUAAGCGAGGAGGAGGCUACUUUAGUUAAUACCUAGAGAUAGUGGACGUUACUCGCAGAAUAAGCACCGGCUAACUCUGUGCCAGCCGCCGCCGUAA